ACGCGGGCUGAGGCGGGACUCACGGCGGCCGGGCAGGGCCGGGCGGCGGCGGCGGCGGCGACUGCUCCGGGCAGCGCUGCAGGGCGAGGGCUGGCAACCGCCGGCAGGAGGGAGAUGCGCGCACACACCAGUGCGGAGAUAGAGGGAGGAUGAAUGGAUGGAGCGAUGCACAGAGCCGAGAGGAGUGCCUCUUGCCAAGCCGCCCCCUCCCCUCCAUGUGACGCAGAUGUGCUCUGGGGCCAUCAGUGUGAAUAGACACAGGGAAAGGGAUGCUUCAGUCAUCCUCACACAAGGACAAAAUUCCAGCUUGCAGAAGAUACAGGAGUUGUGGUACAUUCCCUCACACAGGAUUGUUUUUUCUAUAUUGUAUAGCAACAUUGUUUCAAAAGGAAGAACUAAGAAAAUUAAAUUAUCUGCUCCAAGCCAGCAUCUCUUUGUGUAAAGCAUUGUCCUGGGAAAUCCAGAAUGCUUAACUUACCCUGUCAGUGUAAGGUGUGCAUUAAAGUAUUUGACAGCCUGGAAAAUUCCUCUGGCCAUAAGGAAAUAAUACAAAAUACAAACAAGACAUCAGUUUGUCUUCCUGUGUUUAUUCCUUAAAAUAAUAAAUAGAUAAAUAAAUAAAUCA
RNAcentral lists this long non-coding RNA (625 nucleotides) under Coturnix japonica (Japanese quail). RNAcentral's name for it is "lncRNA (ENSCJPG00005019596.1)". The record is from RNAcentral. Lineage: Eukaryota; Metazoa; Chordata; Aves; Galliformes; Phasianidae.